This 252-nucleotide ribosomal RNA is filed under the name uncultured bacterium. RNAcentral describes it as "partial 16S ribosomal RNA". It matches the Rfam family "Bacterial small subunit ribosomal RNA", at positions 80 to 334 of the family's 1533-position model. The record is from RNAcentral.
CCAAAAGCUGGCGACCGGCGCACGGGUGAGUAACACGUAUCCAACCUGCCUCAUACUCGGGGAUAGCCUUUCGAAAGAAAGAUUAAUAUCCGAUAGCAUAUAUUUCCCGCAUGGGUUUUAUAUUAAAGAAAUUCGGUAUGAGAUGGGGAUGCGUUCCAUUAGUUUGUUGGAGGGGUAACGGCCCACCAAGACUACGAUGGAUAGGGGUUCUGAGAGGAAGGUCCCCCACAUUGGAACUGAGACACGGCCCAA